CACUGGAACUGAGACACGGUCCAGACUCCUACGGGAGGCAGCAGUGGGGAAUAUUGCACAAUGGGCGCAAGCCUGAUGCAGCCAUGCCGCGUGUAUGAAGAAGGCCUUCGGGUUGUAAAAUACUUUCAGCGGGGAGGAAGGUGUUGUGGUUAAUAACCGCAGCAAUUGACGUUACCCGCAGAAGAAGCACCGGCUAACUCCGUGCCAGCAGCCGCGGUAAUACGGAGGGUGCAAGCGUUAAUCGGAAUUAC
RNAcentral lists this ribosomal RNA (251 nucleotides) under uncultured bacterium. Its description in RNAcentral is "partial 16S ribosomal RNA". It matches the Rfam family "Bacterial small subunit ribosomal RNA", at positions 311 to 554 of the family's 1533-position model. The record is from RNAcentral.